Molecule: ribosomal RNA, 253 nt
Filed under: uncultured bacterium
Lineage: Bacteria
Description: partial 16S ribosomal RNA
Rfam family: Bacterial small subunit ribosomal RNA
Source: RNAcentral
UACGUAGGCAGCAAGCGUUGUUCGGAGUUACUGGGCGUAAAGAGUGUGUAGGCGGUUUUCUAAGUUUGGUGUGAAAUCUCCCGGCUUAACUGGGAGGGUGCGCCGAAGACUGGAAGGCUUGAGUAUGGGAGAGGAAAGCGGAAUUCCUGGUGUAGCGGUGAAAUGCGUAGAUAUCAGGAGGAACACCUGUGGCGAAAGCGGCUCACUGGACCAUAACUGACGCUGAUGCACGAAAGCUAGGGGAGCAAACAGG